CAAUACGGUUGAUAGAGUCGGUGUAUGCUGCGUAAUAGUGUUUUCAAUAUUCUGCAAAGUAUUUUUUAAGCUUUUAUUAAACUUAUCUACGUAAUUAUAGUAGUCAUACGUGGAAUUAGAGUCAGUGCUUGUUCGUCGAAUUACUUAAACGAGCGCGUUACUAGUAUUUUAUUUUUCUCUUUUUACGUAUACGAUCAUUUUUUUUUUUUAAUAUCUGUUUUCGGUAUUAGAGUCAGUGCUCAAGAGGAUUUAGCCUGUCCAGGAGUUUAAGAAUGUUUCUCAUAACCUCCACUUUUUCCUGUUCCUUGGAGAGGAUUCAAUGAUGCUUCAGAAGCCAGGAAUUUGGAAAACAAUUUCAACGUCCAUUUUCUUUCCGAAGGUCGAACCUAUCUUCGAAAGAAGCCAUCAUCCGAAUUACUUUCUCGCAGCGAACCCGGGGAUCGUACUGACUAAGGCCGAACCAAGAUUUCCACCCGGAUACUGAAGAAAGGAGGGGAGUAUACGGUGAACAACCACGGCAGCUUCUUUUAUGCUCUGCAACUUUCUGGAAGAGAAUUAUGUAAAAGCGUUAUCGUUUUAUCCCGACGUUGCUCGACGGUAAGGUUAUUAAAGUCCAAGGGACGAGGUAGUGGAUUGGAAUCUAAGGAGAUUCGACACGUGUGUAUGACAAAUGCGUGAUUAUAGAAGUCGUAUCGAUCGUUUUGAGGAGAAGUGAAAGCGGAAGUGGUUCUUUUUUGACGAGUCACGACUGAAAUUGUACAACUCGUAACGAAUUACCGAAAGGUAAUUCCUUCGCUUUGGGUGAUUUGAUAGGAGCUACACGGAUGAUGGAUAGACGAAGGUGAAAGUUUACCGAAUGUGGCGUUAUUUCUUUUUCUUUUUUGUCGGAACCUCGAGGAUAUAUGAAAAAAAAAAAAAAAAAGAAUCUGGCGAAAUACCAUGAUCCGAAGUAUGACGGACAGUUUCGACAAGCGAUUAAAAUUCGCGACGCGACGGUUCUAUGGCUGACCGGUCAUCGAUCGACAAACGUCUCUCCUAUCUCUGUACGGCUUCGCUCUGUGAUUAUUUGAAUGAAGCAAAAAUGACCAGCAGCACGCGGGCGAGCAGCGUCAAAAAGGUGGCUGGUAUAAAUGAAUAAAGCAAUUUCUCGAUUGACUGAUGAAAAGCACUCCCAAGCAUAUAAUGAUACUGAUGAAAAUUGCCGCUUUCGUUUGACUUAUGAAGCAUUAAACUGAGUUUAGAAGCUUUUGCCUAGGUCGGCCGGCAUCGAGCGGUUUUUCUAAAAAUAAAACCGGUAAAUAGGCUAGAGGCUCGUCCCUCGGAAAGAGUUUUCCCGGUAGCGUUUUCCUUUAAUGAGACCAUUCACCAUUACCUCGGCCUUUCCUUUUUUCACUCCCUUCCUUCACCACCCGCCAGGUGGCAGCUUCAAGCGCAAAAACUAGGAGCUUUGUACGUGUCAAUAUUCCACGUCUGUUCAUAAAAGACGACUCGUGUCUCGUCGCACCAAAGGUAGAGGAAUAAAAACAUUAAAUCGGGCACAAGGGUAAAAGAGUAACGCGAACUAGCGGGGAUCUAUUAAAGAAGGAUCAAGCUGCGGCAAAUUGCCGGCUGAAAAGGUGGUGUGUCGUAGCUAAAAUUAUCGAGCCUCGACGAAAAACCGCUUAUCUAAUCGUUGGUAGAAAAAAAAAUUGUCUCCCAAUUGCUCUUCCUCUUUUAGAAACGAACAUAACGUAACGUAAGUAAUAAAGUCACGCGAUAUCGUUGUACGGCCACGUCGGCUGUCAAUUAACAUCAGAUUUCUCCGUGUAAGAGAAACUUUUACGAGAGAGUGAAAGAACGUGGAGGCGCGUCGACGCCGUCACAAAGUAGAACGUAACCACGUACACGAUUCGUGAACGUGGUCAAAUAUUUAUCGUAGCCUGCACUGGAAUCGGAACGACGUACGAUCGGUUGUAAAUCGACAAUAAAUGCGCGGCCAACACGAAGGUUUAACUAUUAGAUAACAGCGGCGCACGUUUCGAAGCAAACCGUCAUCAUCGACCAGCUUUCCUUGCUUCCUCUCUGACAAAUAAAAUCCUGACGGAAACGUAUUCGAUCACGUAUCGACCCUUCGUCUGGUCUAUGAUCUGGCCCACGCGUAUCCUUCUGUCAAUGAAGUCGUUCGAUCGAAAUCGUUUCAUUGAAAUCGUUCGUAUAUGAUUUGCAGACGGCGCGAAAUUUUUCGUGAUCGUCGCGAGUAAUUAAGGAACCGGCAUGCAAAGAGGGACGAACGACGAGAGCAAGAUUGGCUACAGGAUGAAAAACGACGAAGGAGCACGGGCUACGCGUUCAGCUAUAGCUUGGUGUUACAGGGACCACGAGUACGAAUGGUAAUUUCAAUCUGUAAGGAUUAUCCGGAUAACCGAGGUAAUCGAUAUUUAUAUCGAAGUCAGAGGCGUGGGAGGCAACGGAGAAAGGAUCUAGCGACCGAAGUGACGUUGGAGGAACGGGCUUAAGCCGCAGAUAUUGUGAUUCCCGAACCUUUGCGGAAAUACUUAAAUGCCGGAUACAUUGUAACCUUCGUCCAGGUAUUUCGUCGGUGGAUUUUUUGAAAUAUCGAUGUCUGUUUACCUCGUGGUCUACGAGAUGAGCCUGUUGUAUUAUACGCGUAUGAAAGGAACGAUCGUUAAAAU
RNA transcript from Bombus pyrosoma, 2672 nucleotides. RefSeq lists it as uncharacterized. The transcript has 4 exons. Lineage: Eukaryota; Metazoa; Arthropoda; Insecta; Hymenoptera; Apidae. The record is from RefSeq and is a predicted model, not a curated record.